Zonotrichia albicollis (white-throated sparrow) is the source of this 1510-nucleotide long non-coding RNA. RefSeq lists it as uncharacterized. NCBI's taxonomy places the organism in Eukaryota, Metazoa, Chordata, Aves, Passeriformes, Passerellidae. The record is from RefSeq and is a predicted model, not a curated record.
UACCCAAAUCCUGCUGGUCCUCCACCAUGGUGUUUCCCUCUAGUUGUGGUUCCUUUUGGCUGCUUUCAGGACUGGAUCUCUUUUGGCUUUGGGCUGUUAUCAUCUAGUAUGGGAGCAGGAAUUUUGUCCUGGUCAGUGUCACUUGUGGGCUGAAAAGCCAUGGUCCCUUGGGCAGGUCUCUGGUGUGGGAAGGCAACUGGAGAACAGAUCUUUUCAUGGCCUCGUUGAAAGAGAUGGACAAAGGCAACCCUGUGAGGCUUGUUCUGACUGUCAAUGGACAGGUAAAAGAACUGACACUCCUCUCUUCUUGUCCAGGGUCCCAAAUGCCACUUCUGAGCCCCAGAAUCUCCCUUUUUGCUCUCCUUUUCCUUCUCUACUACUCCAAAGUAGAGCUGACAUACAUGAAUCUGUUAAUGCAUGUCUGUGCUGAACCUGAAAGCUCUGUGAUGCUCCAGGCCUAUCCUCUGAACACAUUUUUGCCAGAACACCUUGUGUGUGGCAGGAGACAGGCAGCCAACAGCUGUUCACUUCCAGUCCCACUCUCUCCUGGGUCUUUGGCACUUACAUAGCUGUUUUACCUAGAGCUGAAGCCACUGCAUUUAGCAUCUUACAGUGCCUGGCUUUUAUUUUCCUUGCUUGUUUUGUUGGUGUGGGAGAUGAAAGGCAGAUUAUUCGUUGCAGAGAAUCUGUCCCUUGCAGGACAUGAUUUUGCUCUUCCUUUCUGUGGCUGGAGGAUAAUGCACUAAGGAUUCUGUUGCUGUUUCUGCUGCAGCUGCUCCGAGGUGUCUCCAGCAGUACACCUGUCCAUCCCUUCCUUGUACCCGAGACCAGCCAGUCACCAGUGCUUCCAGCAGAUGAUAGGGCCCUUGGCCAGGACCUGGAGGAUCCUACUGAGGUUAAGAGUCAGAGCUCAGAGGUGGCUGCCAGAGCAUCCAGGCCUGUGAAGGAGGACAUCCGGCCACCGCUGAGGACCAUGGUGGUACCCUGUGCUCUGAAGCCCCCAGCUGGAAAGGUGGAAUCCAAUGAGGCCUGGAAGAAGAGUCCUGACCAAGGACCACCACCAAGAGUCCACUCCAAAAAGCCCAGAAAGGUUUUAUUUGAACCCACAACAUCUGAGAGAGAUCUUGAUGAAGAAGAUCUGGCAGUGAAGGAGUUGGAAGGUGAGGAUUUGGUUCCUAGACCCUGGUUUGUCUUAUCAGUCACUCAGUGAUGAUAUUUCUCCCCUUCAACAUCAGAAGCCUCCCAUGUUUCAUCCUGUAUCUCCCCAGUGAUCAAGAAUAACAAGUAGGUCAUGUGUAUGUACUGUUCCUCUUCAUGUAAUUGCCAUCAGUGCUUCCAGUACUGUCAGGCUCCCAAAUAUGUUUCUUUAGCCCCUCUGAAUCUCAGGCCCACCCCUGGGUACAUAGCUCUUUGAGGAAAAACGGUAAGAUAUGAAAUAGACUUCGAUUUUAAAAGUAUUUUUUAGCUUGCUCAGCCAACUGCAGGGGCCUGGGAGGGGAAGGGAGGAGGA